Non-coding RNA from Heterocephalus glaber (naked mole-rat), 11646 nucleotides. Lineage: Eukaryota; Metazoa; Chordata; Mammalia; Rodentia; Bathyergidae. The record is from RefSeq and is a predicted model, not a curated record.
GCUCGGCUGCCGGCUGCAGGAUCGCGGCUCCCGCAGGGCGCGCCCGGCCUGGCCCUGCGCGGGACUCGCCCGCCGAGGUCGGAUGCCGCCGAAGCUGGGACGCGCCUGCCAGGUACACCUCUGAUCCAGUGGAUAGCGACUCAGCUCUUCUGCCUGAGAGGGGAUCAAAAUUCAGUUCAAGAAUAACCAGAAGAGGAUCUGGGGAAGAUUUAACCUACUUAGGGGGAAAGGAUACAUGGUUGCCUGUGUCUCCUCUCUUGAAGAAGCUUAUGAAAGUAGCCCCAGUAGCCAGGACGCUCUGAGGAGAACCCCAUUGGGGAGAACAAUGGCUAAAAAUAGUAUUUGAGAGGAAAUAUCUGAGAGGAAAAUGAUGAAAAUGUUGACCAAAGAGUUUAAAGUGUCUUUGAAGAAAAAAGAAAAAUAAAAGGACAGCCAACUUUUUAAAACUACAUGCAAGUCACCUUCUGUACUUGCUGGAAAGGAAAAGGUAUUCACCCAAAGGUGUGGGCUUUCAGCCAUGACCUGAAAAGGGUACACCGGGAUGGCAGAGAAGAAUGAGCAGUGCCCAAAACUCUGGAGAGAUCACAAAAGGAACAGCUAGAAGCAGAGCCAUCACCAUGGGGUCAAAACCAGGCACGACUGCUUCCAGGGGACAGGUGUCAGAUGGGCUGCCAUUUCCGGGAUGGACGCAUUCAUGGGAACUGGAUGGUUCCACAAGGGACUGAAGCCAAAGGAAGCUGGUUUUAAAAUCUUACUACAAAUGUGUUUGUGAAGCCAGGCCUCAAGCCACCUGGCAGCAAGGUUCUUCUCUGGUGAAAGGAAGUGGAAGGCCCUUGGGGGCCUCCUUGCUUCUUACACUUCUGGCUGUCUCAUUUUGAUCUUCCCUUGGGUUGCUUCCAUUUCUCUUGUAGCUAAGGGCCUGUCACAUGCCAGGAACUCUGAGGAGCUCAGGAAUUAAUGAGACUGCUACCACCCCAGCAGUUCAUGGCCUAGUAAAGAAAGAGGUCUAAUAAAACCCAGAGCUGAGGAGGAAGACUUCUAGUUACACUUCAUAGAAGGAGUGGCUUGAGCAAAGCCUGCAAGAAUGUACCCAAUGCCUCGGAUGUGGCAGGCUAAAGGGCUUUUGAUAGGUAAAAGCAAGAGUGUCUGUCAUGUGCUGCACACCAAUGCUUUCCAUGGGUUAUUUUACUUAAGUUUACUUUAAUAAUUUAUUGAUUGAUUCUAUAUAUCAGAUUUUAGGGAUCUAACCAUGAUCAGUGGAGUCUCUUUCCUCAUGGAAGUUAAGAAUCAACUGAUACAGCAGGCAGGAUAUGCCCAUGUCCUAAUCCACAGAUGCUGUGAAUAUGUUCUGUCACAUGGCAAAGGAGAAUUAACGUUUGUGUUAGUCUGCUUUUCAUCAUUGUGACAAGAUACCUAAGAAAAUCAACUUACAGGAAGAAAGAUUGACUUUGGCUGAUGGUUUUAGAGGUGUCAGUCCAUGGUCACUUGGCUCCAUUGCGUCUGGGCCCACAGUGAGGUAGGAGCAUCUCCAUCUGGGGACCUUUGCGUGGUGUCCUGUUAGCGCUGACCACCCCACUUUGUCACCAGCAUUUGAGGCUCCUGGUAACUAUACCAUAAUUCUCAUGAGCCACAGAAGUGGAGUGCUGGGAUUUUAGAUGGUCCACAAGAGAAGGAACUUGAACUCUCGAAGCACCUGGCCACACAACUCCAGUCAGGGCCAUGUGGCCCAGAACCAUGCAGUAGUCUCUCCUAUGCCUUUGACCCUAACACACAGAGAGAGUGUGUCAGUCGAGGUGGGCUAGGGUUGCCUAUGAUAACAAAAUCUGCCCAGCAUCUCAGUGACUUAAAAACAAAGCUUACUUCUUGUUUGUGCACCAUGUACACCAUGGUUCUGCCUCAGCACAGAGCUCCAGGAGCCGGGGUGAUCAAAGAUCCACCUCAGAAGAGGUUUCCAUGACCACCAGAGCAAGAAAGAAGGUAGAGGCCAGCCACACUCUGGCUCCUGAGGGAUACACCUGAAAGAAAAAAAACUCUUCUACCCAUACUUUCUCAGCCAAAGCAGUUGCAUGCACGCCUCCAAGUCUAAAAGGAUGAGGACUUACAAACCAUCACAGCACAUGCUGCUGGCACCCCACCCAGAUCUCCUGAGAUUCCUCCUGUUGAUUUGGAUGCUGUCCUGCCCACUGCUGUCCCAGGUCCUUCGCUCACGGUCGACCCUGCCAGGCUUCUCUACAACAUCAUCCUUGGGCAACUGGACCUGUCAUGUAAGCAUGUGACAAUCACACUGACACCUCCCUGGGUGGCCAGAGUGCAGUGAUCAGCCUGAACUCUGGUGUAAAAGCCCUUCCGCUCUCCCCAGGUGCAGACGACACCCCACAGCUCACUGAGCAGCUCCGGGUGGAGCUGGAUUCCCCGGAAGCCACACUCUUGCAUGCUCCCGCUCUCCCUCCCCACCCUGCAUCCCUGACACCUGCACUGCUUUCUGCAGACAUCUCUCCCUCGAUAAGCUGCAUGCACACAAAUCCCCAUCUGAGGCUCUGCCCUGAGGGAACUUGGCAUAAAUUACACACUGCACCCUGGAAGAAGAAGAGGGGGGAGUAGAUGGAGCAGGAGGAAGAGGAGGGAAAAAAAUGAGGAGGAGGAGAAAGGAGAAGGGAGAAGAAUGAGGAGGAGCCAGAGGAGAAAUAAAAUCCUUGGGGGCAGCUCUCAUGGCUGUCAUCAUGAGGACAAAUGAACCGAGCAUCACACACUGAGCUCCUCCAGGCAAAACUGGAGACAAAGUCUUACAUUCAAGGAGGUUAUUUGGGAAGUGGUCCCAAGAAAGAGGAGGGAGGGAGAGGGAAAUGAAACCAGGAAGAAGGGAAAGUUAAUACAAGGAUUCACUCUGGUCAGCCGGGGCUCCAUGGCACAAGACCUCUGAGCAGCAGUCAAACGCAUCCCAGGCCGCCAAGGAGGGAGAACAGGGGGAAUUCAUCCUGAGCUCCCAUCCUGCUGCUAAGGUGGCCAUGUGGGUAGCCAUUCCUUCCCGAUUCCUGAUCAUGAAUGCAGAAAUUCCAAUAAAUUCCCACAGACCCUGCAGCUCGGCAUCAGAGAUGCCCUGGGAAAGGGACAAGAGGUGCUAGACCCAGAGCCAGCACUGACUCUGCCUUUGGUGUCCACUGCAGCAGUGGCGGACGCCUACCCACGCCAGUCCUGUCCCUGCCUGAACACCCUGCAGGAGUUCCCCAGCCCGCUGAGGUGUGAAUGCUAGGGUCACAAGCAAUUGUCUUUCGCACCCUUCUUGUUGUCCUUUACCAUUCACAGGUAUAAUUUGUGCAGUUAGAAAACACAAACCACCAACCCAUGCAGGGCUCAGAAGACCCUGGUUCCGGGGAGCUGAGGGCACCCACAGCGCCCUCCGGACGUGAGCUACAGGCCAGGGGAAGAGCCCGCUGCCAGAGGAUGCCCUGAUUUGGCCCCAAGUAUUCCUCAGCUGGAUUUGACCCUCAGCGUUGUAAAGCUUGAGGUUUCCCCAAAGCCUUGCAAAACACCAUCCACCUCCCAGGUGGGACACCUGAAUCUGCAGUCAACAGCAAACCAGUACACCUGGCUUCCGUGCAAGUCCUGGCUCACGCGAGAGAAACAGGAAGAAGGCAUGGUGUGCCUGGCUCGGCUGAGAUGCCUGCACCCUGGCAGCCUUUCCAGGAGCACAAAGGCAGUCAGUCCAGCUCUGAGGCCCCUGCUGCCGCUGCUCUGGCCAUUCAGGAGCCCUUGCAGGCCACGGCCAGAGGAAGAGGCGUCUGCCUCCUUCGAUUUAAAAAAUGAGGACCCCAGAUGCCCACUCCUCAAGCCACUUUAUCAUUUACCCUGAGAAGUGAGCGACACGGUCAAGCCCACCCUGGGACACAGGAAGAGUGUAUGGCAGGUGACAGGCGGCAGCCAGCGGCAGCUUCAGUAGGGACCCGGUUCUUCCCGAGGGCCACCAGACUUUGCCGUCCCAAGUAGAAGCAGCACGGAGGUCUGUUCAGCUCAGCCUUGCCCAGAAAUCCACACCAAGGCCUUCAGCACACCGGGGACAAGACUGACAAUCUCCCUUCUGUGGCAUCCCGUGCAGCCUCAUGCCCUCCUGUGGACAGGACUUGCAGUUAACUGAGAUAAGCCAUGGAUGGUCGGGUUCAGCAUUGGCCCCACUCGGAACCACGGCAGCAUCUCCCAGGAAAUCAAAGUGUCUUGUCCUCUCCGAGCAGCGAGCUCACAUGGCGGGCAGCAGCUGGUCUCUCAGGUCACAGAUGCGGAGUGGACCAAUCGAGGGUUUUGUCUGCAAGACCUGUGUCGGAGUCCUAGCUCUGUGAGUUCAUCACUGAGUGAUGUUAGAGAAGAAGCUUAGCUGUUUUCUCACUAUAAAAUGGAAAUAAGACUUCCCACCCAGCCCCUACUUUUCCUUCUGAUAAAAGACCACGUCUUUUCUCUCCUCAUUGCCCUGCAUGGCAAGAGUCAGACAGUGCAACGGUCAAGCAAGACACAGACUCGCCUUUCUCUUCUUGCUUCUGGAAGCUGGCUUAACCUUCUUAGGCUGAACUGGAAUAACACCCAACAAGUGGGUUGGGUUUUAGUAAUUAGACCACGGCAAGUGGGGCUAUAUCGCACACGUGUUGGGGUCAGAAGAUCAUCUAUAAUUUAGAGAAGCAAUGAAAUACUUGUUGGCGGUUUGGUUUUCCUGUGAGUGAGAAGUCAUGACCUUUUCGACACAUCCGGAAGCGCUGGUGAAGUGCAAAGGUUGGCGCUGUCAGAACUGCACUCUGUCAGUGGCUGCAUACUUUACGUUAUUGCUACGUAACUCAUUCUGUACCAAAUGGACUGGACUGCCGUAAACAAAGUUACCCAGAAGAUGAGGGAUGGUAAUAAAGAUUUCCAUGAACAUCCCAAAUGCACAAAUUUCCAGCCAGCUUGUCUUUAUCUACAUUGAAGUCUCAAAUGGGAAUUUCUGCAAAUUCAUAAUAUUUUGAAAUCUGUCUCUCCUUCAAAACUCAAAAAUAAUCGCUUUGUUUUUAAGAGCUUUUAAAACGGGAUGUUUUCCCCACAGUUUCCAUUGGACACCAUCUAGCCCCUGUGGGACCACCGACUUGCACGUGAGCAGUUCUGGGGAUUUUCUCUGCUCCAGAUUCUCACACACUCUGAGCUGUCUCAAGCGAACAAAGCAGGAUUCGCUCAAGUUUGUCUCUUUCCAACCCGGCAGCGAAUGUUCUUCUGAGAGCCAGGCUUGCCACUGUGCACUUGGCCUGGUGCUGUGCCCGGGGGGCCUGGGCUCCUUUGGAAGGAAGAAAACCUGGGCCAACUGCACGGAAGGGACUCAGUACAGCUAUGACAUAACCACUCAGAGAAGGGAGGGUUGGGAAGGAAUAAAAUGAUGGCUCCCGGUGCCUCAGAGUAGUGGGUGCUGCUUUUUCUUUUUCAAAAGGCACUUUCAAAACACCGUUGGGUUCCACAAGAGACCUCCUGUGACCGUUAAUCUUGAUAUGUCAGCUUCAUUGGAUUAAGAAGUGUCUCGAAGAUUGGCAAAGCACACUGCUGAGUGUUUCUGAGUGGGCCAUGGAGGUGUGGUCCACAUCCGGGCCCUGGGCCUUUCCUCUGGCACUGUUCUCCUGUGGUUUCCAGCCACCAUGCACUGAAGAGCUCUGCUCCACCACACCCUUCCACCAUGAUGCUUCUGCCCUGGAGCCAGCUGAUGGGGCUGAAUUCCCUCAACUGUGAGGAAAUUAAACCUCUUCUCCCAUAUGUUACAAGUGCCAGGUAUUCUGCCCGGCGAUGGGAUCACUGACUAACACACCUUUAAGAGCCUGGGGCCACACUCCAACCACCUAAUGGGUUGUGGGUCCCCAUGUAGACGGGGACAUCCCCUGUCUUCCCUGCAGAGGGCACAGAAUGCUCCUGCCUGGAAGGCCACACAGAGUUGGCCAGUGAAGCUUUUGGGCUUCCAGCUCCUAUAACCCAUCCAGAGGCGAAUGGUGUCACAUUGCUCUCCCUAAUCUAUUUUUAUUCCCCAAGCCUGUUUCUUUGCAUGGACCGUAUAACCAUCUAUGACAAAGAACCCGUGGCCUUUCGUCUAUGUUUAAUGGCUCUAGAAAUGGCAAGGCUGAAGGCAGCUGGGAAGGAUUAGAAUUGGACCGGAAGUCUGUCUGUUGGCAGGAGAGCCACCCAGAUUGAGCGGGGCUCCCAGUGAUCAUGUUACCAAGCGAUGAGUCUUGCCGUGUUCCUGUGUCUCUGUCCGCGGGAAGGCUGACGAGAAUGGAGAGCUGCACGUACCCAGGGUCCCAGCCUCUGCUUUGGAGGCCACACUGUGUGGGCGGAGGUUGGAGGUUCCAACCGAGAAUCCCAGUGGCUACUGUUUAGGAGAUAGGCUUUCUGCACUACACACCAUGCCGAGGUUUUGCGUACAUAGUGUGGCUGCUUUCUCCAGCAGUGCUGUGCGCCACUCUUCUGUUUCAGAGAUGGAGAGCUGCGGUGGGAUCGGCAUCCAAGAGCCAGGCCAGAGCCUGGUUCCCAGGAGGCAGUGGCAGGGCACGCUGUUAGGUUCUCCUCCCCCGACACACAGCCAGGUAGCAGGGGCUGCAGGGCUCCACAGGAUGCCAGGUAGCACUCUACACACAUGGGUGGGGUUCCACCGGCCAGCUCCUACAGACCUCUGCCUGUGGCCUCCUUUGGCCACCUGAGCCCCCUCCACCCGUGUGUGGAGCAGCAGGAAGGACUACAAAAGCAGGGCCCCAGAGGCGCAGCCCUCAAGCAAUGGCCACGAUAGCUCGGAGUGAGUGGUCUUUCGAGGCUUCCUUCCCCCAGAGACAGAAGCUACAGGAUGUUGAGGGUGUGGGCAGAGAGCAGGCUGGCUUCCUGUAGGGAGUUAGCGCACAUGAUGAGGGAGGCUUGGCGAGACCCAAACCUGCAGGCAAAGAGUCAGAGUCUGAGUCCCAGGCAGAGCUCCCUCUUGCUCAGGGGAGGCGGGACUUUUCUAUUCAGGUCUUCGACUCAAGAGAAGGCGACCUGCUGUUCUCCAAGUCCACUGAUUUAAAUUCUAAUCUCAUCCAAAACACAACUUCACAGAAAGCUCUCUCCUUCUAGAAUAACGUCUGAGCAAGCUUCCAGGGCCCGCAGCCCAACCAGGCUGACACCCACUGACCAGCACCGUGUUUUGCACGUCCCCCAGGUCCCUGGCAGGACUGCGCUCUGCACACCACGGUGGUCGGUGACACGUUCUGCGCCCUCCCACCUUCUCCUUCCCCCUCUCGAUUCCCAGAUAAACUUCUUGAUCUUGAAGCCUGGUGCCCAGGUUAGCUUCAAGGGAGACUGAGGUGCAACAAGACCUGUUGCUGCUACCAAGCUCCCAAGAGGGUAAGUUAGAUGUGAAUCCUGCUCUGGUCCUAUGUCCAAACCACCGCCACCACCUGGGUGGCCGCGUGCAGUGAUGAAGUGUGUGGCCACAGCUGUGUGUGUGGCCACAGCUCUGUGUGUGGCCAGAGGGGGCUUCCUGGAGGAGUGGGAGGAGAGGAAGGAGGUGGAACGGGAAUUUUUUACAGUAAAAGACACACUGCCAUGAAUCCUCCUCAAAACACUCCCCCUGACUUCAAACACAUUCAUCCCAUUUUUCUUACCACUUUCUGAAGCAGAUCCGAAGCCUUCUUUCCUGAGUGUCUUUAGUUGUGCUGUUGUGGCUCCUCAAUGUCCCGAAUUGAUUCAAACUAUUUCACUUUCAUUUUGGCUCUGGGGAAGAGCCAGGAGUCACAUGGUGCCAGAUCCAGUGAAUGAGGUGGAUGAGGACACAGUGUCGUGUUUUUACAAGCUGCUUUUCCAUUGGAAGACACUCAGCAGCAGCAUUCACCAUAUUUUUGAUCACACCUCAUGUAGACACCCACAAAAGAGGACUCCAGAGCUGCUUCAGAAAGUGCCAAGAAUGAUGGGAUAUGUGCAUUCAAAGAGGGGGUAGGGGAGGAUUUUGAGGGGGAUUCGUCUCUGCUGUAAGAAAUUCCCUUUAAUUCAAACACUCAUCAUAUUUGCUGAUCACCCCUUGUGUAUCUCAGGGAGGGCGAGGCUGGAGUUCUGCCUGCCGUGGUCCAGGCUUUGAUAACCCAGAUAAAGCCUGCUGACAGAGUGGGUCUGACCCUGUCCCCUCAGGAGACCCCUCUCCCUGGAGACAUGGCUGCCCGCCUAACCCUCAUGGAGGCCCACAGUAGGUGUCGGGCCUCAGGCCAAAGAGCUGGGGAUACCAUACGCUGUGCACAGCCCACCAUGCCAGGGUUGCCCACUCUGUGUUCUUCCAUGUCUGCCGUCUUCCCCCGGGGACCCUCCAUGACAGGCCACCAUGCGUCCGGCUCUCUGCUAUCCGCUGAGCCCUGCACCUGGCCCACACAUCAUGGGGGCCGCAUCUCCACCCCAUCCUGAGCUUGUCCUCCCCUGUGCCUGGCCACCGGUCCCAAGGCUGGACGCCUGGUCUCAGAGGCCUGGACAACGGAGUCCGCCAUGACGACUCCCAGCCUGGAGCAGCAGGAGGAGUGGCUGGGUGACAUUUAAUCACUCAAGACCCUGAAGUAACAGCCCUGCCCAAGCACCCCAUUUCCUGCUGCAGGAGAUGGGUGCUCUGCACUGCUUGUUUCAGAGGUGGGAAGACACACCAGCAGGAAGAAAUCGAUGAAUUGAUGGCCUCCCUCCAGCUCCAAAGGCCCUGAAUCAAUUAAUUUCCGAGGCACAGGGACUGAUACCAAACGGACCCUCAACCAGCUCGAGUUGAACGCAGCAGAUGGUUGGUGGAUGAGCAGGAAGGUGUAUCCCCAAGUUCAAUGGCGAAAUCAGAGAGGACAUCAGAGUCGCCAAGCGGGUCUGGCUCUCCUUCCUCCCUCAGAACCCCUGUCCCUCUCCAAACACAAACAUGCCCUCCCCAGCACCCAGCUCACAGGGCAGUGGAGAGGCCAACAAAAAUCAAGACACAAAAAGACUUUUAAGGAAAGAAAAUAAGGAGGAAUAGAGGGGUUGAAAGGAGAGGAGAGGAAUGAGAAAAAAAGAAGCAAAAUACAUCAUGUACAGGUACAAAUUCUCUAUGAUGAAUGUUAUCAUUAUGUAUAUCUGAAAUGUAUCAUUAUGUAUAUCUGAAAUGUAUCAUUAUGUAUAUCUGAAAAGAAUAAAAAGGAAAAAAAGAAAUUGUAAGUAAAAAAGAACGUCCUCUGCUAGAAUGUGUGCUCAAAUAACCAAAUCAAACUCAUUUAUUAUCUGCCUCUCCGUCUGUUCUUAAUAGAAAGCAGUUUCACACAUUCCUAUGGAAACAACAUAGUUAACCCUAAGUUGAAGUUAAAAAAAGGAAAAAUUUUCCAUACAAAUAUAAAAUAUCUAUGUAUUGGGAAAAAAAUCAAGAAGCAACUGUUCAGGUUCUGCCAAGCCCCACAUGUAUACAGCACUGGUUGCCCUGCAGACUCGGGGUGAACUGCUCUGUGGGCCUCACUUUGCAAGGCCCCAGAACAAUGAUAGGAUGGGUAUGCAUGACCAGAUUGGUCCUCAUGGGUAUCCAUACUUCAGGGCUUGUUCAUUGACCAGACUGGUCCUCACCAGUAUCCAUAUUUAUGACUGGUCCAUUGACCAAAUUGGUCCUCAUGGGUAUCUAUCUGUACUUCAGGACUAGUCCACUGACAUUAGACUUCUGCAUCCCUAGAGAGACAUGUGUGAAAGUGCCCAUGUGGGAAAGUGGCAGAAAAAGUCAUAAAGCAUGAUAGCUUGUUCCCUGGCACUGUGCUCAGGACUCUGCAAUUCCUGUUUUAGGACAGACACUGCCACCUCCCUGCCUGAAGAUGUCCCAUCCAUUGGUGAGGGGCCUUGCAUGAGGUGUUGUAGACUCGCUGAGGGACAGCGAGAGGCCACAAGCAGGAGAGAGACCUCCCUCCAGCACAAACGCAGUCAGAUACUGGGUCACCUUGGUCGGAGAUUUAGGAGGGAAGGAGGCUGGGCACUGUGACGUCAUCAUACUCUUACACAAGAAUGCACACAAGAUGGUCAGGCUGGUGACUGGCACUCUUGUGCCUUCUUCCCUCCUCUCCGUGUUAGUCUGCCUUUCUGGUGACUUUGAUAGGGCCCCUCCUGGUGUCACCUCAGACUUGGUUACCUACCUCUACAUCCCCAAGCAGGAAUCCAGUCGACUCUGGGAUCCUUCCAAAUCAGGUCACUUAGGCCUUUGACUAGCGUAGAGCUGGACUUCACAAGGGCCACCCAGCAACAGCAGAGAGGUGGCAUAGGAUGGACCAGAACAGGGCAGACACUCACUGUCCCUUGGCCAGGAAUCAAGGCAGCCUUCCCCUUACAGGAAGGAGGGACAGGAAAACCCAAGGCCCAGUGAGGACACGAACCUCGCUGUGUACAUGUAGCAGACUCCCUGGAGGAGAACGGGUCUGCUAGGUUCUUCUUUAUGGUCAGGUUAUCAUCCCUGGGAGAAGGUAAUGAAAACUAACUAUCUUAUUUCCAACUGAAAAGUGCUUUUACGUGUUUUCUUUUGGGUACCAGGGAUCGAACUCGGGUCCUUGCACUUAUAGAGCAGGCAUCGGAACCACUGAGCUAAAUCCCUGGCCCAUGUUUUCUCUUUUUGAAAGAAGGCCAGCUUGAUGUGCUUAUUUUGAGAACCUUUGAAAUCUAGGACUAGGGCUUCAGCAAAGCUCUUUUUUCCCUUUUCCUGUAGCCAAAUGUGCAGCAGGUGUAGCGGGGAGGAAGAGGCCAGGUGGGCACAGACAAAGCCCCCCGGACCUGUUCCAGAAACAGACAUCAGCCCCUCCACCUCUGAGGCACCACAGCUGUGCCUGUCACAGCACACACAGCCACUGCAGCAACGCCCUUCAUGGAUCUGUCUAGAGCACGGUCACCUCCUUGUCAGAUCAGAUGAGCUCUUUAUAUAUUACUGAGAUUUGCCUUUAUCUGCACUGCAAAUAUUUCCCCAAGCUGUCUCUUAUCUAUUAGGUGUUGUAGGAUUUUACCAUAUAAAUGUUUUAUUUUUCCACAUAAUCAGAUUUUUCUCUUGCUGCUUCUGAGAGUCUCCUCUUGGUUGCUGGUGAUGUGAACAAACACUUCUUACCUCCUAACACUUGGCAGAUCGUGCUUAAUGCCACACAUUUGAAAAAGUCUGCCUUGAAUCUGGUCAUUUGAAUAUCCCUCCUCCAAUUAGAACCACAUGAUGUCUCCCAAUUUUAAUCCCAGUAAAAGUCAAACUUCUUAGGCCACCGUAAGUCACACAGUGGAAAGGCACUCACAAACCCUUUGAUACUCCUCCCAUCUGGGAGGGGGAGGCGUCUCCUCCUUCACAUGAACUUGAUGACUUACUUCUCAUGAACGUAACGAGGUGAAGGUAUUGACAGGUCGCUGCCCAGGACUGGUGUGGCUCAGGCUUGUUCCCCAGAGACUCCCGUGCUGCAGGCUUGGUCCUCAGUGUGGUCAUCAGCCCUGUAAGAGGUGGCGCCUCGGUGGCAGUGGGAAGAUCAUUGGGGGCCGUGCCAUCCAAAGGAAUUCUAGGAACCAGCCUCCCUCUGUCUUCCUGACUUGAGUUGGGAUUCCUCAUCCCAACACUGCUGUCCUCCAUGAGGUGAUGCUACCAAGAGGGGCUGUGCAAGAACCUAGGGAAUGCUACUUGGGUUUCCAGCCACCACACUGUGA